GAUGAACGCUGGCGGCGUGCCUAAUACAUGCAAGUCGAGCGAACGGACGAGAAGCUUGCUUCUCUGAUGUUAGCGGCGGACGGGUGAGUAACACGUGGAUAACCUACCUAUAAGACUGGGAUAACUUCGGGAAACCGGAGCUAAUACCGGAUAAUAUUUUGAACCGCAUGGUUCAAAAGUGAAAGACGGUCUUGCUGUCACUUAUAGAUGGAUCCGCGCUGCAUUAGCUAGUUGGUAAGGUAACGGCUUACCUAGGCAACGAGGCAUAGCCGACCUGAGAGGGUGAUCGGCCACACUGGAACUGAGACACGGUCCAGACUCCUACGGGAGGCAGCAGUAGGGAAUCUUCCGCAAUGGGCGAAAGCCUGACGGUGCAACGCCGCGUGAGUGAUGAAGGUCUUCGGAUCGUAAAACUCUGUUAUUAGGGAAGAACAUAUGUGUAAGUAACUGUGCACAUCUUGACGGUACCUAAUCAGAAAGCCACGGCUAACUACGUG
RNAcentral lists this ribosomal RNA (497 nucleotides) under uncultured bacterium. Its description in RNAcentral is "partial 16S ribosomal RNA". It matches the Rfam family "Bacterial small subunit ribosomal RNA", at positions 28 to 507 of the family's 1533-position model. The record is from RNAcentral.